AUUGAACGCUGGCGGCAUGCCUUACACAUGCAAGUCGAACGGCAGCGCGGGGCAACCUGGCGGCGAGUGGCGAACGGGUGAGUAAUAUAUCGGAACGUGCCCUGGAGUGGGGGAUAACGUAGCGAAAGUUACGCUAAUACCGCAUACGAUCCAAGGAUGAAAGCAGGGGACCUUCGGGCCUUGUGCUCCUGGAGCGGCCGAUAUCUGAUUAGCUAGUUGGUGGGGUAAAAGCCUACCAAGGCGACGAUCAGUAGCUGGUCUGAGAGGACGACCAGCCACACUGGAACUGAGACACGGUCCAGACUCCUACGGGAGGCAGCAGUGGGGAAUUUUGGACAAUGGGGGCAACCCUGAUCCAGCAAUGCCGCGUGUGUGAAGAAGGCCUUCGGGUUGUAAAGACACUUUUGUCAGGAACGAAACGGUUAGAGGUUAAU
Molecule: ribosomal RNA, 434 nt
Filed under: uncultured bacterium
Lineage: Bacteria
Description: bacterial SSU rRNA
Rfam family: Bacterial small subunit ribosomal RNA
Source: RNAcentral